This 727-nucleotide ribosomal RNA is filed under the name Stenotrophomonas sp. ME71. RNAcentral describes it as "bacterial SSU rRNA". It matches the Rfam family "Bacterial small subunit ribosomal RNA", at positions 49 to 766 of the family's 1533-position model. Lineage: Bacteria; Pseudomonadati; Pseudomonadota; Gammaproteobacteria; Lysobacterales; Lysobacteraceae. The record is from RNAcentral.
CUACCAUGCAAGUCGAACGGCAGCACAGGAGAGCUUGCUCUCUGGGUGGCGAGUGGCGGACGGGUGAGGAAUACAUCGGAAUCUACUCUGUCGUGGGGGAUAACGUAGGGAAACUUACGCUAAUACCGCAUACGACCUACGGGUGAAAGCAGGGGAUCUUCGGACCUUGCGCGAUUGAAUGAGCCGAUGUCGGAUUAGCUAGUUGGCGGGGUAAAGGCCCACCAAGGCGACGAUCCGUAGCUGGUCUGAGAGGAUGAUCAGCCACACUGGAACUGAGACACGGUCCAGACUCCUACGGGAGGCAGCAGUGGGGAAUAUUGGACAAUGGGCGCAAGCCUGAUCCAGCCAUACCGCGUGGGUGAAGAAGGCCUUCGGGUUGUAAAGCCCUUUUGUUGGGAAAGAAAUCCAGCUGGCUAAUACCCGGUUGGGAUGACGGUACCCAAAGAAUAAGCACCGGCUAACUUCGUGCCAGCAGCCGCGGUAAUACGAAGGGUGCAAGCGUUACUCGGAAUUACUGGGCGUAAAGCGUGCGUAGGUGGUCGUUUAAGUCCGUUGUGAAAGCCCUGGGCUCAACCUGGGAACUGCAGUGGAUACUGGACGACUAGAGUGUGGUAGAGGGUAGCGGAAUUCCUGGUGUAGCAGUGAAAUGCGUAGAGAUCAGGAGGAACAUCCAUGGCGAAGGCAGCUACCUGGACCAACACUGACACUGAGGCACGAAAGCGUGGGG